UUAUAUAGGUACAUAUAUAUAAUCUAUAUCUCUGUGUGUCUGUCCCCAGUUUCUGGUACAGAACUCCUGAAACCCUUGUAAAUUCCCAGGUGUUGAGCUCUGGGUGGGGUCCUGGAUGGGGGCUGGUCACCAAAAACACCAAGCCAGGAUCAGCAGCGUAGAAUUCUAGCCCUACCCUCCAUUCUCCAGAAAGGGGAGCAGGGCUAGAAAUGAGUUAAUGAUUAACCAUGCCUUUGGGAGGAAGCCUCCAUAAAAAUCCCCAAAGUCCAGAAUCCAGGGAGCUUCUAGGUGAGUGGGCCUAUCCAAGUUCUGAGGGGGUGACACAGCCCAGGUCCAAGGGGACAGAAGGCCCUGUGCGGGGACCCUGCCAGACCUCGCCUUCCGUAUCGCUCUGUCUGGCUGCUGUCUGUAUCCUAAUAAGCUGUUAAAGGUGUUCCCCUGAGUUCUGGGAGCCACUCUAGCAAAUCAGUGCAACCAGAGCAAGCGGUCAUGGGAACCUCUGAUCUACAGCUGGUGUGUUCAACGCUGGCGACAACCCGGACUCGCCACUGGCAAGGGAACGGGGCUGAGCGCGUCCUGUGGGAUCUGAGGCUCCCUCCAGCAUACGGAAGUUCCAGACCGGGGACUGAUGUGAGCCAGAGCAGGAGCAAUGCCGGAUCCUUAACCCACUGCCCCCAUCAGGAAUCGAACUGGCCCGGCCACAGAGACAAGCCAGAUCCUCAAGCCACCGCGUCACAGCGGGGACGCCACAUCGCGCCGUUCUCCGUCAUCUCCCUCUCCCGCCACCUGAGGAACGCAGGCGUGAGGUUCUACCUGUGCUUCAGAGAGCGUCAUGGCCCCUGAGGCCUUGGUGCCCUGAGAAGAGCCUCCCUCCUCUACCCACCUGGGGAACAUGGAGUCAGCGUUAAAGAUCUGGUUCCGGUGUCCUCACUCCUGCGAAACCCGCCCUGAGGUUGCUCACGCAGUCCGGGGCGGCUGCGUCUGUGCUCCCAGGGCUCCUGGACACUGAGACCCAUGCACCCUCCUAGAAGAGAGUCAAGUACCACCGCCCCGUCAGUUACAUGGUCCUGCGCCUUCUCUGCCUCACUUCUCAUUGUAUUCUCGGCAUUUAACACAGAGACUGUCACAUGGUUUACUGAAAGUCACUAAAUGUUUAUCGAAAGGA
This is a long non-coding RNA of Sus scrofa (pig), 1165 nucleotides long. RefSeq lists it as uncharacterized. Lineage: Eukaryota; Metazoa; Chordata; Mammalia; Artiodactyla; Suidae. The record is from RefSeq and is a predicted model, not a curated record.